GUUAAGGUGGCAGAUUUAUGUGUUAGAUUUAGGAUCUAAUUAAAAACUUUAAGUUUUCUUAACA
RNAcentral lists this transfer RNA (64 nucleotides) under Saxidomus purpurata. RNAcentral's name for it is "tRNA-Leu". Lineage: Eukaryota; Metazoa; Mollusca; Bivalvia; Venerida; Veneridae. The record is from RNAcentral.